AUGGACACCCUUUACCACGUAUUCCAUAUCUACUGGCCAGUGUUUUUCGUCAUCUGUUCUAUAUUAUACUUCACCAUGUAUAUUCUUAUCUACAACUUCACUACGAAGAUUUUGAAGCCCAUGAGAAUCUUUCUCUACUCUUCCAAUGCUGCAAUGAUGUCCUCAAUUGCGAUGGCGUUUGCUACACAAGCUAGAAAAGUCUAUAACACGGAGUCCAUUGCACUUUUGGCUGAUGGGUUCUGCAAGUACAUUGGACCCAGCGUUUGUCAGCACUGCUAUAAUUUGUGGACGACUUUCGGAAUAGCAGCAUGCAUGAUUAACCUGCACAUGCUCUACUAUCGCACCAUGUGCCUCAAGCAUUUGAACCCAAAAACGGCUGAGAAAUGGACCUUGAUGUACUCAGUGCAUUACAUAUUCCCAAUAGCUUAUCAAAUUCUAAUGCUCAUUCCCUCGUCAAGCAACGCGGAAGUCCACAUUGAAACUCUUCAACUUCACCCAGAAUACGACUACACACCAUACUUGGACUUUGGCGGUUACACUUUUGCACAAAGAAUCUAUGUAGAGAAGACAGCACUGUUCCUGAUUGCUGCAACAUUUUACUAUCCAAUAGUUGGAAGUUACUGGAGAUACCAGGCGAUGAAAAUCUUGAAGACCCACUCAUCAUCGAAUACGUCAAAGGGCACGCUUGUUUUGUUAAGGUUCUUGAUCAAGGUAACUGUGACAUGAAAAAGGUUUGAAUAAAGGCUUCGAGCCUAGGCCUUCCACGAGGACGCUACUCUCGCCGAUCCGCACCACACAACGCCUCACACGAACCACCACACGGCAGCUUCUCAUACAUCACACAAAUAUAGUGACGGGCGGACCUGUGCAGCGUCGGCCGCAGUACACAGAGUGCUAUAGGGCAGGAGUGUGCGGACGUGGUGUACACUAUUCACGCCUCGCCUAUGUGGGAGGCCUAGACCAGCCAAUCUUUGUCUUCGUCGCUUGCUGCUUUUUUUAGCUUGAAAUCAAUGGCUUGGUGUCUACACAACAUAUUGUGAUAGGUAGACGUUUUGCAGCGUCCGACAAAUUCUGAGUUCCGCACCAUUGCGGUGCCCAAAUAGAAGACUCAUAGGACUAUAGUCUAAAUUUAAUUUUUAGGGACUGAAUUUUCAAAUUCUUCUUCCAAUGAUCAGCUAUAUCCCAACUACUUCUAUUUAUGUAUUCAACAAAGUUAUAGGCGCGCAAUUCUCCUUGUCCCAAUACACAGUCACAUUUCUCGGCACCAUUCCGUGCGUUCUCGACCCGUUUGUUCAAAUCUACUUCAUAACUCCUUACCGGGAAGCGGUUCGGAAACUAUUCAACCGCAAGCCACGCGUAGUGGAUACUGCUAAUGUUAGUGUUAGUAGAGUGUCACGAAUUACUUCUUGA
RNA transcript from Caenorhabditis elegans, 1410 nucleotides. It is a transcript of the gene named Non-coding transcript of protein-coding gene srd-70, with no coding region annotated. The transcript is spliced from 5 exons. The record is from RefSeq and is marked reviewed. Lineage: Eukaryota; Metazoa; Nematoda; Chromadorea; Rhabditida; Rhabditidae.